UGAGUACUCCCUCCGUCCGGAAAUACUUGUCUUAAAAAUGUAUACAAUGGAUGUAUCUUUAACAAAAAUAAGUCUAGAUACAUCCAUUUCUAGGACAAGUAUUUCCGGACGAAGGAAGUAGAUU
Non-coding RNA from Hordeum vulgare subsp. vulgare (domesticated barley), 124 nucleotides. NCBI's taxonomy places the organism in Eukaryota, Viridiplantae, Streptophyta, Magnoliopsida, Poales, Poaceae. The record is from Rfam.